GCUGGGCAUGGUGGCACAUGCCUGUAAUCCCAGCAACUCAGGAGGCUGAGGCAGAAGGAUUGCAAGUUCAAGGCCAGCCUCAGCUUAGGGCUCUAAGCAAUUUAGCAAGACCCUGUCUCAA
RNAcentral lists this small RNA (121 nucleotides) under Marmota monax (woodchuck). Lineage: Eukaryota; Metazoa; Chordata; Mammalia; Rodentia; Sciuridae. The record is from RNAcentral.